RNAcentral lists this long non-coding RNA (1763 nucleotides) under Salmo salar (Atlantic salmon). RNAcentral describes it as "lncRNA (ENSSSAG00000086208.1)". Lineage: Eukaryota; Metazoa; Chordata; Actinopteri; Salmoniformes; Salmonidae. The record is from RNAcentral.
AGAAUUUGUUCUUAACUGACUUGCCUAGUUAAAAUAGUAUAUAUACGUUUUCCAGGGACUGACAAGUGUAUAUUACAUGAAACAAACAAACACAUAGAACACCUGAAUAUUAAAGGUGAGAACAAUUCUUCUUUCUUGGCGUACACAAUAUCUGCCUGUCUAGUUGAAGACAAAUAACACAUAGACAGUUAAUGAUAUUGACUUUGCUCUGUGUCAGACCUUUACUUCUUCCUCCUGGCACCCACUCUAUGCUACCAGUGAGACUUCCCCUUGACCCCCAGGGUCCAAAUCAACGUCCUUUGUGAGAGGCUGGUAAAAAUGGUGAGAUGAGGGCCACACUAUUAUCCACCCUCUUAAUUUUUGCCUCUUCUUUCAGGUGGUUCUUACUCAAAUGAUGGUGGUAAUCGUGCAGCAGGUGAUAUGUUUAUGUAUUAAAUGCAUGUGUUUGUACUGUGAUUGAAUAACUGUGAUCCUCAACACAGGGGCCCCACAAGUAUGUGUGCUCAGCCCCCUCUUGAACUCCCUGUUCAACCAUGACUGCGUGGCCAAGCACACCUCCAACUCAAUUAUCAAGUUUGCAGAUGACACAACGGUAGUAGGCCUGAUUACCAACAAUGACGAGACAUGCGCAAUAGCGCCUCUUCAACCUCAGGAGGCUGAAGAAAUUCAGCUUGGCCCCUAAGACCCUCACAAACUUUUACAGAUGCACCAUGAAGAGCAACCUGUCAGGCUGUAUCACUGUCUGAUACGGCAACUGCACCACCCGCAACCGCAGGGCUCUCCAGAGGGUGGUGUCGUCUGCCCAACGCAUCACCGGGGGCACACUGCCUGCUCUCCAGGACACCUACAGCACCCAAUGUCACAGGAAGGACAAAAAGAUCAUCAAGGACAUCAACCACCCGAGACACGGCCUGUUCACCCCGCUAUCAUCCAGAAGUUAUGUCAUAUCUCUGCCUUUGCACAACUGUCAUCUAGGGAUCUUCAUCAUGAUGCUCUUUGAGCUCCUGGUAGCUAUUUAACUUGGACACUAUUUCAGGGGUAACUAUGGCAGUGGGCUGGUGUGGCUGUGCUUGCUACUGGGUCCUUCUCUGGCUAUGAUUAUCUAUUUCCACGACCACUACAUGAGUCACCAUGGCCAACAUCCUCCUGGACUGUCCGCUGCUGACUGUUUGUCAUGAUCACUCACUUAUACUGACUUUGGAUAGGCUCCAGCACUUUUUGAUAUCUUUGAAUGACUACUGUCCAGUUUAGCAUUCGUCCAUUUGUAGGAAGUCAUCACAGCCUUAAUUUUUAUUUUUUAUUUUAGUUGAAAGACCAACAAAAUCUACAGAACAGCUAUUCACAAUUAUUUUUUAUUUGAAUCUUUGGAGCCUGUGUCCUGUCAUAUUGUGACUCAAUCACACAUGAAAGAUAGGGCUGCUUAUUCACUGUUCACAAGUCACCCAACGUUUACUGUAGGUUUAUGGAUCAUAGCCAACUGUUUUCAGACUACUGGUAUCUAACUGCCUGGUGAAAACUAUUGGGAAACCACACCAUGUUGAGUUCAAGCACAGAAUGAAUUAUACAGUGUAGCUUCCAAUUGAAUCGUGCUGUUAAUUCUUUACUGGGCAACCACACCAUGUUGAAUUCACACACAGUGUGAACGGAGUGAAAUACAGUAUAUAGCUGAAUUGUACUUGAUACUUUGGCAAGCUUAUAAAGCUAUAAGAAAUAUGAUAGUUGUGGUGUGCUUGCCCUCUUACCGAGAUUUCAUAAACUGUCAG